Long non-coding RNA from Ailuropoda melanoleuca (giant panda), 5193 nucleotides. RefSeq lists it as uncharacterized. The record is from RefSeq and is a predicted model, not a curated record. NCBI's taxonomy places the organism in Eukaryota, Metazoa, Chordata, Mammalia, Carnivora, Ursidae. The transcript has 3 exons.
AGGUUUGGUACAUAAAGGAGCAAGUGCUGCCCUGAGGCCUCAGGAUUUUGAUAAACCAAGCGAGAAAUCAGUAAGGUAGCACCGACCCUUAUGUCCUUCCAGCCAGAGAUGGCCAAACCUCUGGCUCAGCCCCCAGACGUCCCGAAACUCUUUCCUCUCCUUCCCGUCAAGUGCACGUCUUGCUCUAUGAAGCAGAUUGGAGGUCGAGACGCCUGGCUUCCAGUUGGAGUUGUUUCUGAUUUUUUUCUUCAAGUUUCAGGUAUUUAUGGAUCGGUGCAAGUCCCAGCACAGUACACCAGCGUGAUCCGUGCGUUUAGACGGGAACCGUUUCCUGGGCAACUGGGGGAUUGUGCAGACGGCUUCUGGAAGACCUUCGUGCUCAGCAGCUUUGGUUCCGGGUGACGCCCUCCUACCCCAGCUGACAUCUGGGUUGAACGAUGCCAGGCCCAUGACCUACGGCGCUGCUCCCGUACGUGCCUCUAGGGGCUAAGCUCGAAGGUGCCUCCUCCGGACCGAGGAUCUCGUGUAACGGGGUUGUGGCCAGGGGCCUUGCCGUUGGAAGGAGGAAAGAAUAAACCUGCAAGGCCUGGACUCAAUACACUGAGGAUGAACAGAUGUCCAAAGUUACCCACAUCCCCAAGUCCAAGUUUUGACAGUUCAUGUGCAUAACAUUCCUGGAUGAGUAACUAUAUGCAAUCUCCAUGGGAACGUCUGUGCAAAGAGCAAAGGAGCUCAACUAUUGAUUCCAAAAGUGGGACCCAAAAGCACCCAGUCAAAGGAGGAAGAUAGCUUGAGUUUCCUUCAAGACAUAGAACUUCAUUUUGGCUAAAAAUAGGACAAUGGCGUGAGCGAUGAGAAGACUUUAUCCGGCCAAGCAUGUCAGCGCCAUGACUGACUCGCAUCCACAGAAAAGGGGUAACAUCUAACACGGCCUCUUCUCCCACAGGUUUGCUGGGCUCUAGAAUGGUAAGGAACAAUGACCACGCCCGACACUUAGCAAGUCCACAUUCAUUGCAUCAUUUAACAGCUCCCCCCGCCCCCAAAAAAAGAAAGAAAGAAAAAAGCCAGCAAGAUUAUUCCAAUCAUUUGAGCAAGACAGAAAUUGAACUUGAGAGAAGAUUAACAACAUGCUGACGGUCACCAAGAAUGAACUAGCUUCCGGGUUCAUUUUACAGUUUUCUUGAUAGCGAAUUUAUAAAUUUAUUUUGGUUUUAAAUACAGGAAGAACAAGUGAUGCCAUUCAUUGUACAGUAAUAUUUGAGUUGCUCCAGACCUAAGCCUGCGGACAGCCUGUGGUUCCACACACCUUGCCCAGUUUACACUGCAGCCCUUGUGUGUUAAUUUGAUAAAGAAUGUUCCUUAGUCAUGGGAAGUCAUUUUUACACAUUAUAAGUUUUGAUGAAGUUGGUAGUGAUGAUAUGAUACAGUGGGCUUAAACAUCCUGUUUUUCAUUUAUAAAUGUAAUUUAUAGAAAUUCUAAAAAAGUUCUAUAAAAAUUAUUAAAAACAUUGAGAAUCUAACAGGAAAAAAAAUCCCUGUUAAUUGCUACAAACCACAGGUUAUGGAAUAUUGGCAAGUUUGUGCUACAUUUCCUUCCAGCCUUUGUUCUUAAGUCCAUAAUUGGCAUCACACUUUGUUUGCCAGAAGGGUACUAUUUUCUUCAUAUUAGGGGAUCCCCCCCCGUGUCACUAAAACUUAUAUGAAAACAUUUUUAUACCUUUCAAAACGGCACAACUUGCCAUAAUUUAUUGAGCUAUCCUCCCUGUCGUUCACUGGUCACUUAGAUUAUGUCCUUCAAGAAAAAAAGUCAUAAAUAACUAAAUCUAUUUUUGCUUAGUACACAUUCCCAGAGGAGGGUGACUGGGAUGGGGGAAGACACCAUUUGAACAUUUGCAAUGCAAUCUGUUGCCAGCAAAUUGCUUCUCAGACAGGCUGGGUCAAUUUGCCCUGGUGAGGCGGAUGCUCUCCUUGGGGGGGUCCCAGGUCUCCCCAGCAUUUUGGGAUUCAUUCACUCCUGCUGCAGUCCUCUGGGGCAGACGUUCCCACUGCCACCUCCAUGGUCUGGUCCCUUCACCUCAAACAUCUGUCUCCUGAUGGAGCCGGCGACACAGCUAGAUAGAAGAGGGUGUCCGACAUCCCUUUUAGAAAUCUGUGUCCAUUGUCCAGCCGAAGCUUGGGUGUCCUUGAGCAUCGGGCAGCUCCCCACACACCCCCUGGACCCCACGGUCCACAUGGUACGUCUGUGCUCUGGGACCUGCCAGGCUCCCCCUCCUGUGAAGGGUACCUGUCUCCUGCCUGGGUGGAUGGGGCAGAGGACAUUUCCCAAGAAAGCCAACCCACAGGUUUAGGCGCGUAGGGGGUGCCACUUUGAUCAAACGAUGCAGCGCAGAUGGCAGAAGCCUGGGACUUGAGCCUUUUAGGAUUCCGGCAAAGGAAAGGAUUAAUUCAGAAGCCGGCUCCUUAUCAAGGGUCCUGAAUCCCCCCGCUGGUGGGUGUUGUGAAUGGAGAAAUUGAUGCUCCAGAAAGUUUGACAGUCAAGGACCCCAACUCGUGGUCUCUGGAUCAGUCCUGAAUUGAGGGGGAUGAUUUCCUCAUUGCAGACUUGAGCCUCCAGGCUGGACCCGGAUGAAUAGAUCUGAUUAGUCUUGUGAGCCAGCGACUACAUCUCUCAUUCUCAGUCCUGUGAUUUUUCUAGGUCAAUAAUAUGACUUCCCAAGUUGUGGAUAAAAGCCAGCUUGUAAAAAAUGGGACUGAGUGCCAAUGGCUUAAUGUACACUGUUCCACUGAACUAUGAUCGUUAAGUCCAUCUGAGAGGGUCUCCGAAUGAGAAGUCAGGAUGUGACUUUUGUUCUAUAGAGAAAGAAUACGUGGCAAAUGAUUGAUCAGAUAUAACUUAAAUCUUUUCCCAAUGAACGUUGUCAUAACAUCUGAAAUGGAAGGAAAUGGUACCAUCAUGAGAAAUGAACUCUACCCUGUUGCUUCUUUAGGCAGGAGCGGAGACAAAGCUGGAUUCUGCGGCAUGAAAGCCCGGCCUGGUGAGGAGGAGAAAGCGAGAGGCUAUAAAUACUCAGGCUGACAGAGCAGCAGAUGGUUGGGUUGGAAGUGGAUGUCUGGGAGGGAAAUGUGCUAAGUGGGACUGGCAUAUGCUUUCUUAAGUCUCUGACCUGCUUGUUUCUCAAAAGACUUUAUUAAACGCUUGGAAAAAUAGAUUGGGAAGUUGCUGCUGCAAAAGAAAGUUAGAAAAGGAAAGAAAAAAGGAAAAGAGAAAAGAGUGGGAAGAAGGAAGGAAGGAAGGAAGGAAGAAAGAAAGAAAGAAGAAAAAAAAGAAAGAAAGAAAGAAAGAAAGAAAGAAAGAAAGAAAGAAAGAAAGAAAGAAAGAAAAAGAAAGAAAUUCCCCAAGGCUUGUGCCUCUCUCACCUAUGUGAUUGAUUUGUAUUACCAAUAAGCAUUUCUUUCAUCCUGAAAAAUAUCAAAGCUUCCCCCCCCUCAAAUUUCCUGCUCCCUUGUCCCUGGCUGCCACCCCCACUGGCAGUAGAUGGCAAAGCAGAAAGCCAGGAGAGCAGCCGGCCACGGGCCUGCGGGCAGGUGCAGAGUCCCAUAAGGACUUCCUGUUGACGGUCAUCCUGGGACCAUCCACAGAGACGUUCAUGGAGCGGCCCUGUUGGUAAGAAGAGCCCCUCAACUCUGAGCUGUUUAUUCAAAAAAGAAAUAUAUUUCCAAAGUGUGACAACAGUUUUGUUCAUGUUGGACCAAAUCUUACGUUUCUGUUGGGCUUGAAUCGAUAUUUUCUCUGACUGAGAAGUUACCCAUUGACCUUAUUUACGUUUAUCCUUGGUUCACUAUAUUGUCAGCUCCCUGAAAGAAGGAUGCUUCUCUUCCCUGCACCUAGCAUGGGGCUUCUAGCUUGAGCCAGAAGAUGCUCGUUCAUUAUUCAUCGCAUUGUUUACGAACAGUUCACUAGAUCAUACAUUGAUGGCAUGAGUCAUGUGUUCUCUUUGGAUGUGACAAUGCUUCCAAGGACCAGGCAGGCGUCUCGCCCUCCAGACACUCACUAACUGUGGAAUCGUCAGCGUCUGAGGCAGACAGAGUACACUCUCCUCUCUCCCCAGUGGGAGAGAGCCUCAGGGAUGGUAAAUGGGCCACCAUGGGUCCAUCUAGACCUGCCGGAUAUACCUGUGAGGACCAGACAGGGAAGCCAGCGUUCCACCUGCCUGUAAGGUAGAGCUGGAGGAACCCUAAUCCUCCCAUUUGAGGAGGAAUCUUACCUCUCACGAUCCGAACCUGGGGGGUGUGGGGAAAGUCAGUGGAAUCCAUGGGGGGUCAGAUCGUAGUAGGAGGGAGUGAGGGGUGUGGUAGAGUGAUCUAGUAGUGCCUAGAUUCCCGUCUUCUCUCUCCAGACCUUGCUGGCCUCCAGUCAGUCGUGACUGCCUCUCUCCUCCCUGGAACUUCAGUCCUACUAAGAGCAGAGCUCUGGAUGACCAGCGGUGUAUUGCUUCCAAGACUGGACCUCUGCAUCCCCAAAGCAGCAUUCCAGACCUUCUGUUGGCAGCUGGUGGAUAGACAAGUGGACCACAUCAAACCAAAAAUCUUCUUUACACCAAAAGAAACAAUCAAGAGAGUGAAAAGACAACCUACAGAUGGGGAAAAAGAUAUUUGCAAACCAGAUAAGGUGUUAUCUCCAAAAUAUAUAAAGAACUCCUGCAACUCAAUGACAAAAAAACCCCUGAUAUCCCAAUUAAAACUGGGCUAAGGACCUAAAUAGAUAUUUCUCCAAAAAAGACAUACAAUGGCCAACAGAUAGGAACAAAUGCCCAUCACCGCUCAUCAUCAGGGAACUAGAAAUCAAAACCACAAUAAGGUAUCCCCUCACACCUGUUAGAAUGGCCGUUAGCAAAAAGAUAGGAAAUAACAAGUGCUGGGGAGGAUACAGGGGAGUUAGAACCCUUGCAGAGUUUCGGUGGGAAGGCAGACUGGUGUAACCACUGUGGAAAACAGGGUGGAGCUUCCUCAAAAAAUUAAAAAUAGAAGUACUGUGUGAUCCAGCCAUUUCACAUCGGGGUAUUUAUCCGAAGAAAACAAAAACACUAAUUCGAAAAGAUAUAUGUACUUCCAUAUUCACUGCAGCAUUAUUUGCAGUAGCCAAGAUACGGGAAAACACCAUGCAUCCACGGAUGAAUGAACGGAUAAAGAAGA